AGACUGCUGGGUUCUCUACAGCACAUAUCAGAUGUGAAAGACAUACACAAAAGCACUUCAGGCUUCUUGGACACAGCAAUUUCAGAGUCACCUGGAGGAGUCUGAAACCAUUCUGUCCACCCUUGGCAAGGAAAGAUUGUGUCCCAGACCUUAAACUAGAAGCUCUUCCUAAGGAACUGCUGGAUUGCUCCUGUAACGACUAUUUUCUCGAUAAUGGGGAGAUUCUCAGUGUGGGAAGGAGAAGCCGAAGAG
Molecule: long non-coding RNA, 252 nt
Organism: Manacus vitellinus (golden-collared manakin)
Lineage: Eukaryota; Metazoa; Chordata; Aves; Passeriformes; Pipridae
Exons: 3
Source: RefSeq, a predicted model, not a curated record